AUCGAUGAAGAACGCAGCGAAAUGCGAUAAGUAAUGCGAAUUGCAGAAUUCAGUGAGUCAUCGAAUCUUUGAACGCACAUUGCGCCCUUUAGUAUUCUGAAGGGCAUGCCUGUUCGAGCGUCAUUAUCACUAAUCAAGCCUGGCUUGCUGUUGGGCCUCUUGUCGUUAAAAGACAGGCCCUAAAGAUAAUGACGGUGUUAUUAGAACCCUAGAUGCAACGAGCUUUAACCAGCACGCAUGAUAGUGGCCUUUUAACCCGGUCUUUUUUAACCAAUUUUUAAUGUUGACCUCGGAUCAGGUAGGAAUACCCGCUGAACUUAAGCAUAUCAAUAAGCGGAGGAAAAGAAACCAACAGGGAUUACCUCAGUAACGGCGAGUGAAGCGGUAAUAGCUCAAAUUUGAAAUCUGGCUCUUUCAGGGUCCGAGUUGUAAUUUGUAGAGGAUGUUUCGGGCACAGUUACGGUUUAAAUUUCUUGGAACAGAAUGUCAAAGAGGGUGAGAGUCCCGUCUUGAACCGAUUACUUCGUCCAUGUGAAACUCCUUCGACGAGUCGAGUUGUUUGGGAAUGCAGCUCAAAAUGGGUGGUAAAUUUCAUCUAAAGCUAAAUAUUGGCCAGAGACCGAUAGCGCACAAGUAGAGUGAUCGAAAGAUGAAAAGCACUUUGAAAAGAGAGUUAAACAGUAUGUGAAAUUGUUGAAAGGGAAGCGCUUGCAAUCAGACUUGAGCUUAACAGUUCCCCCUUCGUUCUCGUUGGGUUAUUCUGUUUUGUCCAGGCCAACAUCAGUUCGGGUGGUUGGUUAAAGACUUUAGGAAUGUAUUUACCCUUCGGGGUCGACUUAUAGCCUAGAGUGUCAUGCAGCCUACCUGGAUUGAGGAACGCGCUUCGGCUCGGAUGUUGGCGUAAUGGUUGUAAGCGACCCGUCUUGAAACACGG
This 934-nucleotide ribosomal RNA is filed under the name uncultured fungus. Its description in RNAcentral is "eukaryotic LSU rRNA". The stretch from base 285 to 934 matches the Rfam family "Eukaryotic large subunit ribosomal RNA", at positions 1 to 664 of the family's 3401-position model. Lineage: Eukaryota; Fungi. The record is from RNAcentral.